Molecule: long non-coding RNA, 4739 nt
Organism: Gallus gallus (chicken)
Lineage: Eukaryota; Metazoa; Chordata; Aves; Galliformes; Phasianidae
Source: Ensembl
AGAACAAGAUGCUAAAUUUAGUGACUGAAUUAUUCAUCAUUUGAUAUUCUCUUGAUCUUAAUCUUUGACUCUCUAUGCCAGGCAGCAGUGCAUACUCUGAAGACAAACAUUUCUCGUGGCUGUUAUCCACCACACACCAACAGCAGGAGAACACUGUCUGUGGGAUGAGACCCAUCUGUGUGGACAAGGGAACGGAGUUCAUUUCUCCCUCUGCACACAUUGGAUUAAUGCUGCAGUGUAACCCCACAGCUGCUGCCUGCAGGGUACUUGACUUCAGGCUGGGCUCAGGUCUACACCCAGCAUGUGCAGCACCUCCCAGCUGCUCUCAGCAUGGCUCUCAUUGCCUCCUGCAGCUGUGCUGGGCUCCACGUGGUGCUGCCAACAGCAGGCCCCCUCUGGCUUCUGGCAGUGCAGUGCUGUGCACAGCGCCGUGGGUCACCUUCUCACACAGGGACCGGGCUGUGGCUUUCCCAUCCAUUUCCAGGUCGGAGAAGUUUAUUGCUGACAAGCUGGCUACCUGCACGUGGGGAGGGUUCAUUUUAUGCAACACGGAGAGAGAGGAGCACACACCCAGAACAUGAGCUCCCAAGCAUCAGACAACCCCGCCUCACCUGGCUCAGCUCACCUCCUGCCCGGAUGCAGCCCCAGGAUCUGUCUCCUCCUCCCUGUCUGUCUCUGCUGUUAACCCACAGUGACCUCCGUUGGGUUUUGUGUGUUUGCUUAUUUUUGUGCUAGAGGCUUUAGAAGAAGUUUGAGGAACAUCCACACACUCCAGUUACUCUAUUAUCUAAUGAUUUAGGAUGUGGUACAACUUAUCUGGCAAUAUGGAAAUCCUGUCGCGUUUGCGAAAUUACAUCUUUAGUUGUGUGAGUCAACAGAUUUAAUUUCUUGGGCAAUGAAUGGAAUGAUUUCUGACUCAUCCCUUCUUGCCUUAGAAGGUGCGUGGGCACUGCAGGGGUGGCAGGAGGGGCUGGAGGAAUUUCCUGUGGCUCAGGAACACAUCCACCCUUUGGGACAGCGUGCCGUGCGGUGGGCUCACGUGUGCUCUGCUCGUGCUUCGCAGUGGAACGUGCUGCAUGCGGUUCUGCACACAGAAAGGAGAGAAAUGUGGCAGACAAGUGGCAUUUUUAAAUCCUACCACCAUAUCCUGAGCUGUUCUUUCUUUUCCUGUCUUUUGGUCUGCUUCCCCCCCCCCCCCCCCCCCCCUUUAUUUCCUACCUGCCUGAGUGCAGGGCUGGUCUGGGUGCAGCCACUCGCAAUGAGAGAGUGAGGCUGGCACCGACAUUACAGCCUAACCAGUACAAGAGCCAGUGCUCAAUGCAUGCAUGUUAUCUCUCCAAUAUGUGAUCCCUUUAAGAUAGGAGAUGAUUGUGGAUAGAACCAGACAAAAAAUGCCUCCGUGGACACGUGAACAGAGUUUGAACAGAAAAUUCUGAUCCUGAGGCGUAUCUGGCCUCCAUCUGCUCCCAGCGAAGAGCCGUCACCUUGCAGGGGCUGACCCCAGUCAGAAACUUCCCAUCUCACAGUUCAUUCAGCUGAUAAGACUGCAAUGGCAUUACAAACACAUUUAUCAUCUCAUAUUCUCUCUCCUACCUGCACAGAUAAGGCAACGCACCCGGGAGUUAUUUACGGUCAGUGUGACCAUUCUCUGCAUGUGUGCGCUUAACGUAUAGUUUCCGUAAUAAGACUAUAAAUCGUUUCAAUUAUUCAUCUUUGCUAUAUUUUCAGCAGCAACAUUUUUUUGGUUAUUCAACGUAUUCAUCUCUGCUACAUUUUCAACAGUGACAUUUUUUAAUAUCAGGACUUCUUCCCCUACAGAGGCAGCCAUGGGUCUCUGUUGGCCGAGAUGAGAUUUUUUGGGAAGCAGUGAGAACAGCUCUCUGCAGUUACUCGACGCAGAGAUCUUUAUGCAAGGAGCUCCCCAAAGCAGAUAAUGAAGAAAUAUGUGCCUGCUUAUGUAUGCGGCUACACCAGCACUGAUGACUCACCCUUUGAUCGAGAGUCAUUUGAAGUAAGGAGCCGCCUUUAAAUGAAGCAAAGUAUCAAUGUAAAUUAAAAUAGGAAAAGAAGCAUGACAUGUCGGUCCCAGACCUACCAUUGACUCCACUAAGAACAAGAUCAGACUCAUUAUGUACCCAAUUAACCAGGCCUGGCAGCAGACACCAAGUGGGCGUGGGACGGGCUCAGCCCAGGCUGGCUGCCACUGUCCCCAUGGCGGGAUUGUUGGGACUGGGGGAGCACAGCCUUUGGGCACAGGGUUAACUCAGCUGUAGUUCAUGCCAACGUAAUGCCCUACAGUGAGUGCUGUGAUGGAGCUCUUCACAGCAAUGGAAACAGAGCAAAGGAAAAGGCAAAACUAAGGCAAGCUGGGGGUAUGGAGGGGCUGAAGGUUAUUUGGGCAAGAAGGAUCAAAAGGAAGAAAAAGAUGGGUGCACAGCCAGACCAACACCCUAUUUCAGGUUUUUGCUAUUAUUUUCCUGAAUGCUUGCUCUUUCUCCUAUGAGAAGCUCCUCUUUGCUUUACACACCCUCUGCCCAUGUUAGUCUGUCUUGACUGAGACUUUGCUGAUGAAAUACAUUUCCAAGAAACAACAAUUACAGAGCUGUUCCAUACGGAUCAUGUCCAGCACAGCAAAUCCAAGCAUCAGAGGGUUUAUGUGGCCAGCACUCCUAUGGUGGAUUUGCUUUUUUGAUUUCCAAAUAGCAGCACAGAAGCGCAACAGUGGUCUCAGACAGUCACUUCCAAGGUUAAAUUUAGCAGUAAAAUGUUGAUGAAGUUAUUUCUUAGAGAAGAAUCGCACCAAACUCUUCCACAAUCCAGCAGACGGAUGGGAAGCAGCUCCUUGACAGCAGUGGUGCUCCAAACCUGGGCUGCAGCGCCACGAGCCGAUGCCAGCACCGGGGCUGGAGGAGUGCCUGCAAUCAUCUUCACUUUUCUGCUCCAUUUUAUCAUUCCUAAUGAGCUCUGAAAGCUCGGGGAGAACAGAGUUAUGUAACUGCAGAGGCAGUUUAUAAGCAAACGCAUUUGAAACUCCUGGGGGGAAAAGGGAGCACACUGUGUGCUGGCCCGAUCUCGAGCUUUCCGAAGUAAUUCUGUGUUUUUCCUCUGACUUUAAUUAGCUCUGAAUCAAAAAAGGAACACUCCAGAAUAAGCCUCAGUAUAAAGGGAUUUAAUUUAUUCGUACAAAUCUGAGUGCUAAAUGCCCCAUCCAUGAUGUGGGGUGCACUGAGGUGUGCAGCUGAGCACACCCGCAUGUCCGGCAGGGGAGGCAGCUGAGAUGCUGCUCCUAAUGCAUGAUACACAUUGAGGAAAUCCUAAAAAAAUACCUGCUGAGGAAACAGUGUUGUGGUGUCUGGGAAUGCUGAUGCCAACAGAUGCUCGAGCAGGAAGAGUGCAGUAUGCAAAUAGAAGAAUUCACCUGAUGAGAAAAGAUGGAAAGUAUUUCUUAGUAUAGAAACUCAAGGAGGUAUACCCAAAUGUCAGUUCUAAAUCAGAAGCACUGCAAGUAUUCAGGAACGUCAAACAAAAUGAAAGGUGAAAAAAAGAAUUUAUGAACUCUGCAGCGCCAAUGAGUAGCACCGGGUACAUACGCUCUGCUGAGACACUCGAGAGCUGCAAGGACAAGUUCGGGCUGAGUCUGUGGAGGUUUUGUUUUGAAUUUAAUCUGGAUAAUUAUUUCAAUAAUUAAAAAUGUUCUGCUAAGGCAGGUUGUAAUUAACUAAUUAUUUGCUCUGUUUAUGUUUCCUGCUUACUUAUACAUUUUUAUUAUUUUGCUAAAUUUGAAGAGAAGCCUUUCAGAAGUGCCGGCGUUCCCACUUCUGGCCCUGCUCUUCCAUGCAGCUUCUCUCCCUCCUUCCCCUCUCUCUUCCAUACAGAAAGCUGGGCACCACCAUACUGAAGGAGAGGAGCAGAGGAGUGAUGGUUGCAGGGCUCUGUUCUCAUCUGCCUUCCUGCUGAUGCUCUUCUGCAGCACCUGUCACUACCGUGUCUGCAUGGGAGGAAGUGUGUCACAUUGAGCAGGUUCCUUUCCAGCACAGAUCUUGGAAAGAGUGGGAAGAGAGAACACAGAAAGUUGGAAACCUCUCUGCAGCAUUUCUGUCAUGUUAUGUGGGGAGAAACAAAAAUGGGCACAGCAAGAAGGAAGAUCUGGAUGGUGUUCAUCAGCUUUGGGCAGCAUCAAACCUUUCGAUGAGCACAGGUCUUCAAAUGACGUCGAGUAAGAAACAAGCAUUAGUCCAUAUAAACAAAUCAAUGUCACAAAAGUCUUAAUGAAGAAACGAGGGUGCAAGAAAAGUAGAAGGAGGUGGGACUGGCUGAGGGUGCUGAUGGUGAAUGUGAACGUAGCGGGAGGAAGGCAGCACUCAAUGGCAGCAGUGUUUGUGGUGCUGGGGACAAUGAAUCAUGGUGGGACAAUGAAGAAUCUUCCAAUCAGAGCCGCAAUGCAGUCUGAACCCACUGGGGCAGGGGAGCUGCAGGGAAAACUUGGGCUUUGUGGGGGCAAAUUGUUCCCUUGUGUUGAACCUGUAAUUCUGACAAGAAAACACAUAUGCUGUAAUACCAAAGGAAACUCAUAUCAAAGAAUAAUUAUUUUACUUUUUCUUAAAUGGUUGGGUUGCAAAUAGGCCCAGGCCUAUUAUUCCUGCUGAAGAGGUUGGAAAAAUUAACGCCUUAAAGCCAACUUUACCUUCAGUGCAUAAUAUCCAAAAGCAAUAUGUAAAUGAGUAUGUAAAUUGCUUAAG